GAUGAAGAACGUAGCGAAAUGCGAUAAGUAAUGUGAAUUGCAGAAUUCAGUGAAUCAUCGAAUCUUUGAACGCAUCUUGCGCUCCUUGGUAUUCCUUGGAGCAUGCCUGUUUGAGUAUCAUGAGCAAAUCUCAAAGUCAAUUCCUUUUGUUGAUUCAAUUGGUUUUGCUUUGGACUUGGAGGCCUUGCAGAUUUCACAGUCUGCUCCUCUUAAAUGCAUUAGCUGGAUCUCAGUAAUUAUGCUUGGUUCCACUCGGCGUGAUAAGUAUCACUCGCUGAGGACACUGUUAAAAAGGUGGCCAGGAAAAUACUGAUUGAACCGCUUCAAACGGUCUAUUAAGUUAGACAAUUACCCUUAAGUUUGAUCUCAAAUCAGGUAGGACUACCCGCUGAACUUAAGCAUAUCAAUAAGCGGAGGA
This 418-nucleotide unclassified non-coding RNA is filed under the name soil metagenome. Its description in RNAcentral is "partial contains 5.8S ribosomal RNA, internal transcribed spacer 2, and large subunit ribosomal RNA". The stretch from base 1 to 120 matches the Rfam family "5.8S ribosomal RNA", at positions 35 to 154 of the family's 154-position model. The record is from RNAcentral.